RNAcentral lists this long non-coding RNA (317 nucleotides) under Elaeis guineensis (African oil palm). RNAcentral describes it as "long non-coding RNA (EGUI_LNC051062)". Lineage: Eukaryota; Viridiplantae; Streptophyta; Magnoliopsida; Arecales; Arecaceae. The record is from RNAcentral.
AUGAUUUGAGAUGGAUGGGUGGUUAAGAUUUUUAUCAUGCCUCUUUUGCUUUCCUCUUGAAGCUCAUCCUUUUUUUCCAAAUCUCAAAACCUAGCCACUCCUCUCUUAAAAAUCCCUUUUAAAAACUCUAAAACUUUCUAUUCUUGUCACUGUCUGCAUCCCAGGCCGCAUCUAAGCCACUUGCAUGCAUGUGUACCGCAUCCUCGCACCCGCAUGAAGUGCACUCUUGCAUCCACUCGCUGGCUCCCAUGCUCACGCCUGCAUGAAGCACGCCUUUGAUCAGACCUACUCAGUGUGCUUGCACCUGACCGCACCCC